AAAGAGGUCAUAUUUGCGGUAUACGUACAUAUGACACGAUCGCAUCGUAUUAGGUAUUAGGUACUCAUGACUUUGAUAGCUUAUCUAGCCUUAUACGUAGCUUGUCAUAAACGAAGCGAGUCACAAGGGCCAUGAAAGAAAGGCCUUCCAUCAUAGUAUGGCAGCAGUGCGUAGUUAUUGUCAAUAUGUGAAAGCAUGAACAUGACGUUUAGGAGAGCACAGCACAGCAUUCUUAAUGUUAUAGCCCUGGCCAAUCUCGUGCCAGCAGCCGCGGUAAGACGAGAAGGGCGUGCUUAUUACGUAAGAAAUAGGUAAUAUCGAGUGAAGGCGUGAUAGUCAAUGUAAGUAUGGCAUAAUAUGGCAUGUAACAGUAAAAUGUUGACAUAUGCUAUGGAAUGCCUAUGACGUAGGUAGCCUAACACAAUGACUGAAGCUGUAACUCGGAAGCUUAGGUAGCGAACCGGAUUAGAUACCCGCAGUAGUCUAAGCCGUCAAAAUGACUACGAUAUAUAUAGUAGUAUACCUGGUGAUACGUCCCCAAGGAUAGUAAUCAUAGAAAUUGGCAGCCAUAGGCAUACGCUGUGGAUUAUGCUGUUAACCCAUAUGGUUCCAAGGUUUACCAUAAGCAGCCUUAAUAUAGCAUCACAUACUGUUAGUAUAGCAUCACAUACUGUUAGUAUCGUAAACAUACCCUCUGUAUAGCAUCACAUACUGUUAGUAUCGUAAACAUACCCUCUGUAUAGCAUCACAUACUGUUAGUAUAGCAUCACAUACUGUUAGUAUAGCAUCACAUACUGUUAGUAUAGUAAACAUACCCUCUGUAUAGCAUCACAUACUGUUAGUAUAGUAAACAUACCCUCUGUAUAGCUUCUGUAUAGCUUCUGUAUAUCCUCCGUAUACCUUCCUUACACAUCGUAUACAGUACACAUCGUAUACUGUACACGUCGUAUACUGUACACGUCGUAUACUGUUUGUAUGUUAACUAUACCCCCUUCCUUACACGUCGUAUACUGCACACGUCGUAUACUGCACACGUCGUAUACAGUUAGUAUGUUAACGAUACCGCACACGUCGUAUACAGUUAGUAUGUUAACGAUACCGCACACGUCGUAUACAGUUAGUAUGUUAACGAUACCGCACACGUCGUAUACCGCACACGUCGUAUACAGUUAGUAUGUUAACGAUACCCCCCUCCCUUACACGUCGUAUACGGUUAGUAUGUUAACUAUACCCCCUCCCUUAUGUUUAGCUUAUUAAGUAAAAGGUGGCUGUAUGCUGAGAGGCAUUGUACCUGACAAGGUUACUUAAAGGCUGAGUACCUAUGAUGUGAGCCCAUUGUGUCUUAGAUACGGGCUUACCCCGAAGGGCUCGCCUGUUCUACAGGCGUUGUAUACACAAGUCGUAUACACAAGUCGUAUACACGAGUCGUAUACACAAGUCGUAUACACAAGUCGUAUACACGAGUCGUAUACACAAGUCGUAUACACGAGUCGUAUACAUAAGUCGUAUACACGAGUAGUAUACGACUCGUGUAUAGGUUAACCAAACGUUGAGGGUAGGAUACAAUCAGCAGGUAUUGGAUACGUAAUGUAACACCUUCGUAUAUAGGGUCGUAUCCUUUCUAUAUACCUCAGAGACUAUACGCUACACAUAUACUGAAUAUAUAGCCCAGGCUUAACUAUCGUGUAGUUAACCAAACCCUGUUAAUAGGAAGCUACGCCUAAAACCUUACCAUUCUUCAUAUAAUAAC
RNAcentral lists this ribosomal RNA (1750 nucleotides) under Dunaliella viridis. RNAcentral's name for it is "small subunit ribosomal RNA". The stretch from base 1 to 653 matches the Rfam family "Bacterial small subunit ribosomal RNA", at positions 191 to 1533 of the family's 1533-position model. Lineage: Eukaryota; Viridiplantae; Chlorophyta; Chlorophyceae; Chlamydomonadales; Dunaliellaceae. The record is from RNAcentral.